RNAcentral lists this ribosomal RNA (433 nucleotides) under uncultured bacterium. Its description in RNAcentral is "partial 16S ribosomal RNA". It matches the Rfam family "Bacterial small subunit ribosomal RNA", at positions 29 to 507 of the family's 1533-position model. The record is from RNAcentral.
AACGAACGCUGGCGGCAUGCCUAACACAUGCAAGUCGAACGAGACCUGCGGGUCUGGUGGCGCAGGGGUGCGUAACGGGGGGGAACCUGUCCUUAGGUUCGCGAUAACGCCCGGAAAGGGGUGCUAAUACUGGCUAAUGUCUUCGGACCAAGGAGUUAGCGCCUUUGGAUGGGCCCGCGUUGGAUUAGCUAGUUGGUAGGGUAAAAGCCUACCAAGGCGACGAUCCAUAGCUGGGCUGAGAGGAUGAUCAGCCACACUGGGACUGAGACACGGCCCAGACUCCUACGGGAGGCAGCAGUGGGGAAUAUUGGACAAUGGGCGAAAGCCUGAUACAGCAAUGCCGCGUGAGUGAUGAAGGUCUUAGGGUUGUAAAGCUCUUUUACCCGGGAUGAUAAUGACAGUACCGGGAGAAUAAGCUCCGGCUAACUCCGUG